UGGCUGGGAUGACAAAAACAUACGUUUCUCGAUCCUGAUACUUGAUUUGUUCAAAACCAAACUUUGAUGACCUUUGUGCGUGUCUGAGCCAG
Molecule: small nucleolar RNA, 92 nt
Organism: Panicum hallii
Lineage: Eukaryota; Viridiplantae; Streptophyta; Magnoliopsida; Poales; Poaceae
Product: small nucleolar RNA snoR126
Exons: 1
Source: RefSeq, a predicted model, not a curated record